GGAUAUGGAGAUCAGACUGCCAGCAAUUCAUUUCAGCUACUUUUAAUCCAAUCGCUAUGGAUUCGUGGAGGGUAACUUAGGAAAGUUAAAGAAAAAAUUCAAAUUUUAAAUCCUUCUCUUCUUUCCAGCAACCAUAAUAUCUAUUCAGAUAUGAUGAAAAUUUAUUUUAUUUCUACUUCAUCUUCUCUCUCAUUUCCCUCACCUAUUUUAUUUUCUCUCCAAAUCUGGAUCUAAAGAGAGUUAGGAAUCCAACUCCCACCACCUUCGUUGUUUCCGAAUCCAACUCCGACCACCUCCGUUGAAGGGAAGUUCAAGUCCGGUUUUCAUAGAGCUUGAUUAUUCCUCUUCGGAACAUCAGGCAGGUCAUUCAUCGUUUGGACUUCUCUUUCUCUUUGUUUCUGUAACCUAGAUUAAUGGGUUACUUCUUCUUCCCUAAUAUAUCAUCAUUUCUUUAUAUUUUGCUUGAAUUUCAUUUCAUUGGUGGUGAAAUCAGUGUCUUGUUUUUGUCAGAUUGAUGGUUUGUUUAGUUCAUGCAAGGGAACGUUUUUAUUUUCUGGGCAUGGAUCUGGUAUUGUUUGAUUUCUAAGAUAGAUCUGAUUGUGAAAUUAAAUUGUUUUAUUUGUUUUCGUUUGGUUUGGGUUUUCCCUUUUUUUGGUUGGGAGGGGUCUUUGUUUGGAGUGGUCUAGUGACUUUUAAAUUAGACUUUUGUUUUGUUUGUUAAUCGCCUUUUUUCUCAUGUUGCUAUUUUAAUUACUUAGUGGGUUUCAAAUUCAGGUAUUUUUGUGGCUAAUUUGUGUUAUGGUCCAAAUGAAAAAUGCAGGAAAAGCAAUCCAAAAGGAUCGAAAAAUCAGGACGGUGGAGAAGAAUUUUUAUAGCUAGUUGUUGCGCUGAGAAUGAAGAAGGAGAAUGGAAUCCAAGAGUUAGGAAAAUUAAUAUGUUCAGAUUGUUAUAAAACUAAACUCAAAGAAAAAUAAGAACAAGAGAAAAUAUGGAGAGGGAGAGAGUUUCUUAUUGAGGUGUAUGGAAUGNNN
Molecule: long non-coding RNA, 1031 nt
Filed under: Linum usitatissimum (flax)
Lineage: Eukaryota; Viridiplantae; Streptophyta; Magnoliopsida; Malpighiales; Linaceae
Description: long non-coding RNA (LUSI_LNC005027)
Source: RNAcentral